Spinacia oleracea (spinach) is the source of this 4109-nucleotide long non-coding RNA. RefSeq lists it as uncharacterized. The transcript has 2 exons. NCBI's taxonomy places the organism in Eukaryota, Viridiplantae, Streptophyta, Magnoliopsida, Caryophyllales, Amaranthaceae. The record is from RefSeq and is a predicted model, not a curated record.
GGCAUAAUUUCCAGAAAUUGGUCCAAGGUCUUAGAAAGACCAGUUUCUGAGUAACUUUGCAGUUACAAAUAUCUUGAGGAUGAAGGCCUUGGACAAAAAAUAAAGGCAACAGUUGAUGAUCAAUGUAAUAGGACAAUACUUGCCUGAUAUGAAAUUGGUUCAGAUAAUUUUUUCCUAUGAAGGAAGCAUUGCCAGUUGUCAAUUGGUAAAGGUUUGCAUGAUGAACACCAGGUGUCAAUGGACUUUGGAUCAAAAUAGCUCCUUACAUCCUCAACAGAAGUAGUAUAAGUAUAGAGGCUUUGAUGGAGCAGCGUCCCCAUUUCAAUCAUCCUUGAGAUUCCCAAUUUGGAAUCAAGGGAAGACCUGUAUCUUGAACAAGAUAUAGUCAUAUCCGAAUGAAAUUUAAAUAUUGUCACUACCUUAAUCCAAAUUAAUUUUGGAUUAAAUUGGGAAUUUGUCACGAAAUUAAUCCAAAUUAAUUUUGGAUUAAAUAGUUUCAUAUGGUUUUUUGGACUUCCAAAAUUCCAAUUGGGUCGAAAGAACAAGGGCGGGGGAUAAGUAGGAUGAAGAUGAUAUUUUUGGAGCAAAUUAGAGUAAUAAACAGGAGGUUCUUUGAAUGAAUGGUUGGAGUACAACUAAGGAUCUGUAAUAGAAAGAGGCUUUGGAGAGGAUGAAUUUUGAUUUUUGAGAUUUUCUUUUCCGACUUGUUCAUUUAUUUUCUGAAGCAAAACCCUAGGAUAUUGAUAAACUUUUUUAGGAGGCAUAUUAUGAGAAUUUUUGGAGAAGAUCUUCGGAGAAAUGAAGCACAGAUCCGGUAUAUUGGAAAAUAUCAUACUAAUCAUUAUACUUGUUGAUAAUAUGAAACUGAUAAUAGAAAUCAUUGAAGAGGACAUGUUUUAAAGAAGAUGAACUUUAGAUGCAAAUUGAUAAUUACUAGGGAGCUUUUGUUUCUCCUAUUCUUUUUCUCUCUCUAGAAUAGAGUGGGUCGACUAAGAUAGUGAGAUGAGAGGUGAGUAGGUGACCAUAUUCCGUCUAUACAUAUAAGAUAAGUGGAAACCCUAAUCGCGAGUUAGUGACGGCGCCUCUUAUUCAUUCCUUCUUCCCUCUUUCAGACUCACUCUAUAUCUCGAUCACCAUUAGUUGUACCGCAUCACCGUAAUCAUGCCUGAAAGUUGAAUUCCAUGGUUGCGUGGAGUUUCGUUGUGUAGGUAUCAUCUCUUUGGUAAGCUCUUUUAAUCUCCAAACUCUAGUAUCAAAAUCUGUAAAAAUUAGUGUUAGGUUUAUUUAAAUUAUCUAUGUUCUUUAUCUCCUUGAAAUCUUGUGAGUUUAAUUUUGACCUUGAACUAUAAAAUUGUAACCUUUUUUCACUCUCAUAUAAUUUCGAAGUAGUUGGGCGAUGUGUAGGUUAGCAAGAUUUCACCGUCACGAGAGAACUUUAAGAUAUUGAGAUGCAAUUUGACUAUAUCAGGAGUAUUCAACUAUUUAUAUCAUGAGUAUCCAACUAUUAAUUAUUCAAUUGUUCGACUAUAAAUUGUCAGGUUGUCUUAUUUGGUGAAUUUGGUGUUCAGUUUGUGUUGUAAGAUCUCUUAAUCUAUGUCCUCUAGUAUCAAAAUCUGUAAAUUUAUUGUCGGAUCUCUUUAAUUUAUCUAUUUCCUUUAUCCCCAAAAAAUCUUAUGAGUUUAAUUUAGGUAUUUUAUGAUUCCAGUUUUAUUAAGUGGCAUGAUAGCAUACUCUUUUAAUGAAUCUUGUCAAAGUAUGAUUAAUGUUUAAGUGGCCUGAUAGAAUACUCUUUUAAUGAAUCUUGUCAAAGUAUGAUUAAAGUUUAAGUGGCUUGCUAGAAUACUUGUGGAGUUGUGGUUGUAUUCUUUUAAGUGGCCCACUAUGAUUAAAGUUUUAAUAAGGUGCAAAGUAACACAAGUCGAACUAGUUAGCAUGCUAGCAUACUCAUGGUUGUAUUUUGAUGAUUUUGAUGAUUUAAAGCUCUUCAUUGUACGUGGUUUUGGUUGAUUUAUAAUCAAUCUUAACCCUGUGUAGGAUAUACUUUAUUUCUGUGAAGAGCAUUGCCUUGUCAAAAGAGUGGGGUUUAGAAAAGAAGGUCUUACCAAAAGAAAUAUGGAUUCUAUGGUAGAAAACUUACAGUCUAUGUUAGGGUGUUUAGAUCCAUUACCUUGUCAAGGUAGGUAUUUUCAUGUGCGAUGUUCAACACAUAUUCUGAAUCUGAUUGUAAGGGAUGGUUCAAAAGUGAUAAAUGGAUCUGUUGAAUUAGUGCGUGAAAAUGUGAAGUAUAUAUAUGCAUCUUAAGCAAGGAUUAUUAGGUUUGAAGAGUGUAUUUGUAAUUGCAAUUUGGAUUCUUCUUCUAAGUUGUGGUUAGAUGUGUCCACAAGGUGGAACUCACCUUAUAUGAUGCUUUCUCGUGCACUUGAAUAUCAAUCUGCUUUGGAUCUGUUUGGUCCAAAAGAGCAUGAUUAUACUCUUCGUCUCUCUCAAAAUGAUUGUUUGAUGGUUGAAAAAAUGUGUACUUUUCUUAAGAAUUUUUACCAAAUUCACAAAUCUUUUCUCUAGUUCUGAUUAUCCAACUUCUAAUUUGUAUCUUGAAUCAAUCUGUAAGAUUGAGUCGCUUUUGAAAAAAGCUUUUCGUGGUGAGGAUCCUGCAAUUAAAAAAAUUGCAACUCGAAUGCAUGCAAAGUUUGAUAUUUAUUGGCAUUGUUAUUCAAUGCUCCUUUCAUUUUCUGUUGUUCUUGAUCUCCAUCAUAAGCUGCCUUUUUUUAAGUACGUAUUUAAGUUUGUGUAUGAUACUCAAGCUGAGUUUGACCAAAAGGUUAGAGAGGUACAAUUGAAAAUGGUGUGGCUUUAGAACUUCUACAAGGGACCUGGCCAUGCUGGGCCAAGUACCUUGCAACCUAUUGCACCUCCAAGGGAAAUGACUAAUGAUUUUAAGGUAAAUCUGAUUUAUUUUUUAUUUUUUUAUAAAUUGUGCUUUCUGUUAUGAAUUUAUAAAUCCUUGUAACUGAUGAUAUGUUCAUUUAUUUUGCUUGUAGUCCUUUGAUUCUCGCGCUGCAAGUUCUGUGGAUGAUAAAUCUGAACUUCAAAUUUAGCUUGAUUUGCCAUUACAUUAUCUUUCUUAUGGAACUGAUGUAGGCUUUGGCAUUUUGAGCUAUUGGAAAGACAAUGCAUCUUCCUUUCAUGUUCUAUUGUGCAUGGCCAAAUAUAUAUUGGCUAUUCCUAUUACCACGGUUGCUUCAGAGUCUACAUUUAGUAUGGGUGGUAGAAUUAUAAACAAAUUGAGAAGUUGCAUGUUCUCAAGGCACGUCGAGGCAAUUACUUUUGGUAACUGGUUAUAUGGUUAUGAUGAGUCAAUUGUAGAAGGGGUUACCAUUGGUAAAGAAUAUCAUGUUGUAGCUAUCGAUGGUAGGGAAUUGGACUUUGCGAAUUGUAAGUUUUUAGUUGUUUACAUUAUUUUAUCCUUCUAAUAUUUCUCACCUCCUCACAUGGACUCUGAAGUUUGUUGUUGUUAGGAAAUACACUAGUGCCUCUUGAUGUUGAAUUCCAUUUUUCUUCAUUCAAAAGUCCCCUUGAGAUAUUAACAGUCAUGAUGUGCCAAUGAGUAGAACUAGUAACCCAUUGGUACUUUCCAUGAUUGACGAGUUCAGUUGUAUUAAUGUUGUUUAAACCAAUUUGAAUCAGUUAUCGUGGAGUAAUUCAUGUUUGGAUACUUUUCUUAUUGGUAACCAUUGAUUGUUUUUAUUCUUUGGGUUGAUAAUUGGCUUGGUAAGAUCACUGGUAGCAGGUUUGAAUUUUAUUCAUUAUAUUUAGUCUAUUUACCAUUGUUUUAAGAUCAGAUAGUCUGAUAAUUUUUCUAUUAUCUUGUUAGCCGAAGAAGACUAAGAGAUCAGAUGGGACUAUGUAACUACGUCGAUACGAUGAUAUCGACCUUUUGUAAAGAGUAAGUUUUUGAAAGCUAAAAUCAGACUAUGGAGACAACGAAAAGCAUAAACAUGUACUUCUUAUAAACUUUAAUGUACUAAUUUUACAAUUUCAAUUUUUAAUGUACUAAUGUAACAAUAACAUUGUUUAACUUUUCAGCUUAAUUAUAAGAAUUAUAUUAUGGA